Long non-coding RNA from Carya illinoinensis, 572 nucleotides. RefSeq lists it as uncharacterized. The transcript has 2 exons. The record is from RefSeq and is a predicted model, not a curated record. NCBI's taxonomy places the organism in Eukaryota, Viridiplantae, Streptophyta, Magnoliopsida, Fagales, Juglandaceae.
CUUUUUUUAUUAUUUCGGCUCCUCUCUCCCGCGGUCCUCUUCCCUCUCGCAUAUCACGAUUCACCUCCUCACUUCUUCCAAUUUUUUUUCUUCUCUCUCUUCUUCUUCCGUCUCCCGUGUCUCUCCCUUCUUGCUUUUCUUCUAUUUUUUUUUUCUCUUCUUCUUCCCCCUUUCUCGCACGUAGCUCUUCUCUUUCAUCUUCUCUCAAGCACAGCACCGCACAGCUUCACUCCAACGCUGAUCGCCCAACAACACGAAGGUGGUGGAUGAAGAUGGUGGAGGACAGGACCACACAAAUUGCGAACUUCGUCGGACAAAGAUUGAAGGGAAAAUAGGGGAGAUGGCUUCAGAGGAAUUAAUGUAAUUCAACGAAAUUUUCAAGAGUUACUUAUAGAAAUGCCCAGUUCGUGCGAGGACAGUCCUAUUCGGGGAUUAUAUUUAGACAAUUUUUUAAGUAUUAAAAUAAAAUAAUAAAAAUAAUAAAUCAACGGAAGUGUAGUAUUGGGCUUCCACUUAAAAUUUUUCUUUAAAUUAAGCUGUUUUGUGAAUGUGACCACAUUGGUCGGUUAAAA